This 464-nucleotide ribosomal RNA is filed under the name uncultured bacterium. RNAcentral's name for it is "partial 16S ribosomal RNA". It matches the Rfam family "Bacterial small subunit ribosomal RNA", at positions 29 to 507 of the family's 1533-position model. The record is from RNAcentral.
ACGAACGCUGGCGGCGUGCUUAACCCAUGCCAGUCGAACGGAAAGGCCCUGCUUGCAGGGUACUCGAGUGGCGAACGGGUGAGUAACACGUGGGUGAUCUGCCCUGCACUUCGGGAUAAGCCUGGGAAACUGGGUCUAAUACCGGAUAGGAGCCAUUUUUAGUGUGAUGGUUGGAAAGUUUUUUCGGUGUAGGAUGAGCUCGCGGCCUAUCAGCUUGUUGGUGGGGUAAUGGCCUACCAAGGCGGCGACGGGUAGCCGGCCUGAGAGGGUGGACGGCCACAUUGGGACUGAGAUACGGCCCAGACUCCUACGGGAGGCAGCAGUGGGGAAUAUUGCACAAGGGGCGCAAGCCUGAUGCAGCGACGCCGCGUGGGGGAUGACGGCCUUCGGGUUGUAAACUCCUUUCGCUAGGGACGAAGCUUUUUGUGACGGUACCUAGAGAAGAAGCACCGGCUAACUACGUG